Molecule: non-coding RNA, 96 nt
Organism: Mycena rebaudengoi
Lineage: Eukaryota; Fungi; Basidiomycota; Agaricomycetes; Agaricales; Mycenaceae
Source: the annotation of a GenBank genome assembly
GGCUCGGUAGCGGAGGGUCCGUGUCUGCCUCAAAUAUGGGCCGAGAAUUCAAUGCUGAGUAUGCAGAUCCCGCCUGUUCGAUUCAGGCCCGAGUCA